This is a long non-coding RNA of Oncorhynchus tshawytscha (Chinook salmon), 342 nucleotides long. The record is from Ensembl. NCBI's taxonomy places the organism in Eukaryota, Metazoa, Chordata, Actinopteri, Salmoniformes, Salmonidae.
CAUAGAAAGAGAGAGAGGUGGAGGAGAAAGAGAGAGGAAGAGACACAGAGAGAGAGAAAGGUGGAAGACAGAGAGAGAGAGAGAAAUGAUAGCGAGAGAAUGAGACACAGAGAGAGAGAGGUGGAGGAGAAAGAGAGGAAGAGACACAGAGAGAGAGGGAAAGGUGGAAGACAGAGAGAGAGAGAGAAAUGAUAGCGAGAGAAUGAGACACAGAGAGAGAGUGGUGGAGGGAGAGACAGAGACAGAGAGAGACAUAGAAAGAGAGAGAGGUGGAGGAGAAAGAGAGAGGAAGAGACACAGAGAGAGAGAGGUGGAGGGAGAGACAGAGAGACAGAGAGAGAC